GGCAAUCGUACGGGCCCCGGGGGAGGACUGGUUUACACGCUCUAGUGUCCUGUGCCAACAUAAACCUCCUCUCAGCCAUGGGGCCACUUUAUCCCCACCAGCUUGUGGACAGGGCUAGGAAAGGCAGGAACAGACACGGCGCCUCGCUCUGCAGGGAGAGCUCCCGGAAGUGACGGGCUGGACUUUGGCUGACACAGACCAGCCAUCCUAACCUGUGAGCUCUAAAACUGAUGAGGGCAGCCCCAGGGCCCAGCACCCCUUCAGCCACGCCAUUGGCUGAUGGCUCCAGUGGAGGCCAAAGGGUCGCCUGAGUGGCAGCUACAAGCUCUGGUCACUUCCCAGCCCCAUGCCCUUACUAACCCCUGCCAUCUCCACUUGGCGGAUGACAAACAUCUGUAGGUCAGGCAUCAUGAACGGGGCACUCAGCAUGUUGCCCCAGAACUGGAGAAGCCAUGCUGUGGAGGCAAUCUAUCACGCUGUCAGAGACUGGGACUUGAUUUGGUACCAACUGCUGUGCAAUUCUGGAGAGCAGGAAUAUCCUGAGCAUAUUAAAUAAUGACGGACAUAUUGGUUGAAACAAAGUUUCCAGUAAGGAAGUGCAAUGUGGAUAAUCAUGGCAAUAAAAUAGGAAGAGCUUUAGUUCCCAGCCCGAACCUGCCUCGGCUGGAGCCAUUUCAACAAGGCGUCCUCACAACAAAGAAGAGAUGCGAUUGGUACCAUUUCCCAUCAUCAGGUGUCUGGACAAAACAUUAAUGUGAAUAAGGGCCAAGCGCGGUCCUGUGUAUCUUGAUUAAAUUACGCACUAUUAAAUAAAAGGUCUAGAUGAUAUUGUUUUAAA
This is a long non-coding RNA of Myotis lucifugus (little brown bat), 838 nucleotides long. RefSeq lists it as uncharacterized. The transcript is spliced from 2 exons. The record is from RefSeq and is a predicted model, not a curated record. NCBI's taxonomy places the organism in Eukaryota, Metazoa, Chordata, Mammalia, Chiroptera, Vespertilionidae.